This 855-nucleotide ribosomal RNA is filed under the name uncultured bacterium. RNAcentral describes it as "bacterial SSU rRNA". It matches the Rfam family "Bacterial small subunit ribosomal RNA", at positions 8 to 831 of the family's 1533-position model. The record is from RNAcentral.
AGAGUUUGAUCCUGGCUCAGGACGAACGCUGGCGGCGUGCCUAAUACAUGCAAGUCGAACGCUUCUUUUUCACCGGGUGCUUGCACCUACCGAGAAAGAGGAGUGGCGGACGGGUGAGUAACACGUGGGCAACCUGCCCAUCAGAGGGGGAUAACACUUGGAAACAGGUGCUAAUACCGCAUAAUUCUUUUUGUCGCCUGACAGAAAGAUAAAAGACGCUUUCGGGUGUCACUGAUGGAUGGGCCCGCGCUGCAUUAGCUAGUUGGUGGGGUAACGGCUCACCAAGGCCAUGAUGCAUAGCCGACCUGAGAGGGUGAUCGGCCACACUGGGACUGAGACACGGCCCAGACUCCUACGGGAGGCAGCAGUAGGGAAUCUUCGGCAAUGGACGAAAGUCUGACCGAGCAACGCCGCGUGAGUGAAGAAGGUCUUCGGAUCGUAAAACUCUGUUGUUAGAGAAGAACAAGUGAGAGAGUAACUGUUCUCACCUUGACGGUAUCUAACCAGAAAGCCACGGCUAACUACGUGCCAGCAGCCGCGGUAAUACGUAGGUGGCAAGCGUUGUCCGGAUUUAUUGGGCGUAAAGCGAGCGCAGGCGGUUCCUUAAGUCUGAUGUGAAAGCCCCCGGCUCAACCGGGGAAGGUCAUUGGAAACUGGGGAACUUGAGUGCAGAAGAGGAGAGUGGAAUUCCAUGUGUAGCGGUGAAAAUGCGUAGAUAUAUGGAGGAACACCAGUGGCGAAGGCGACUCUCUGGGUCUGUAACUGACGCUGACGCUCGAAAGCGUGGGGAGCAAACAGGAUUUAGAUACCCUGGUAGUCCACGCCGUAACCGAUGAGUGCUAAGUGUUGGACGGG